AACAAGGUUUCCGUAGGUGAACCUGCGGAAGGAUCAUUGUCGA
This 43-nucleotide ribosomal RNA is filed under the name Clematis apiifolia. RNAcentral's name for it is "partial 18S ribosomal RNA". Lineage: Eukaryota; Viridiplantae; Streptophyta; Magnoliopsida; Ranunculales; Ranunculaceae. The record is from RNAcentral. RNAcentral also lists the same sequence under 8 other names.